This 471-nucleotide long non-coding RNA is filed under the name Helianthus annuus (common sunflower). RNAcentral's name for it is "hypothetical non coding rna". The record is from RNAcentral. Lineage: Eukaryota; Viridiplantae; Streptophyta; Magnoliopsida; Asterales; Asteraceae.
UGGUCGAUCAGAGCAAGCAGGGGGCGACCCCCACUCCUUCAAAACCCUAGAACUUCAGAAAUCUUGCAAAUUGAAGGUUCAAUCCAAGUUCAAAUCGAAUUCUAAACAUAGAUUCCUGAUCCUCAUCACAAGGGGAUUACAAGUUUGACGCGUAACAAGCUAGGUGGAAGCUUGAUGAGGGAGCGGGUCAAACGAAUCAAGAAGGAAAGGAAAAGCGUAGUUCGGAUGCGAGGUACUUUUUGGAUGCCGGAAGACGAUCAAGCUCAAUGAAGAACCGAACACGAUAAAGACACAUGCUUCCGCACAUUGCCUCGUUGUAAAUUUUUAACGACGAACCCGAUCACGUUAUGUAGAAUAACUUAUGAUUUGUAAAAGUUUUAAUAAACCCGUAUUUCCGAUAUAUAUGUAAUCUUAAUUACAUGAUUGUUUUCGUAAAAUAUACGUUAAACCAUGGAUUAUAAGAACGGGUGU